This is a small nucleolar RNA of Perognathus longimembris pacificus (Pacific pocket mouse), 132 nucleotides long. RefSeq annotates it as small nucleolar RNA SNORA33. The transcript has a single exon. The record is from RefSeq and is a predicted model, not a curated record. NCBI's taxonomy places the organism in Eukaryota, Metazoa, Chordata, Mammalia, Rodentia, Heteromyidae.
AAGCCAGCCAGUGAGUCCGCUUACCUAAAUGUGUAUAUGCAGAGAUUUAGAUAAAGCUGGCAAAGAUAGAGCCAUGACACAAGCCUUAAGGACAAACAAGGUCAUUUAAGGCCCCUGAGAAUGGCUACAACA